Leopardus geoffroyi (Geoffroy's cat) is the source of this 103-nucleotide small nuclear RNA. The record is from RefSeq and is a predicted model, not a curated record. Lineage: Eukaryota; Metazoa; Chordata; Mammalia; Carnivora; Felidae.
GCGCUCACUUUGGCUGCACAUAUACUAAAAUUGGAACGAUACAGAGAUGAGCAUGGCCCUGUGCAAGGGUGACAUGCAAAUUCGUGAAGCUUCCACAUUUUUU